This 401-nucleotide ribosomal RNA is filed under the name uncultured bacterium. Its description in RNAcentral is "bacterial SSU rRNA". It matches the Rfam family "Bacterial small subunit ribosomal RNA", at positions 356 to 773 of the family's 1533-position model. The record is from RNAcentral.
AAAGAAUCUUCCACAAUGGGCGAAAGCCUGAUGGAGCGACACCGCGUGGUCGAUGAAGGUCGUAAGAUCGUAAAGACCUUUUCUGAGGGAAGAAUUAUGACGGUACCUCAGGAAUAAGCACCGGCUAACUCCGUGCCAGCAGCCGCGGUAAUACGGAGGGUGCAAGCGUUACCCGGAAUCAUUGGGCGUAAAGCGUCCGCAGGCGGUUUAUUAAGUUAAAUAUUAAACCUUGAAGCCCAACUUCAAGUGUGUAUUUAAAACUGAUAGACUAGAGUUUUUUAGGGGCAUGUAGAAUUCUGUGUGUAGGGGUAAAAUCCGUAGAUAUACAGAGGAAUACCAAAAGCGAAGGCAGCAUGCUGGAAAAAUACUGACGCUCAUGGACGAAAGCGUGGGGAGCAAAC